This 1096-nucleotide long non-coding RNA is filed under the name Ananas comosus (pineapple). RNAcentral's name for it is "long non-coding RNA (ACOM_LNC000537)". The record is from RNAcentral. Lineage: Eukaryota; Viridiplantae; Streptophyta; Magnoliopsida; Poales; Bromeliaceae.
GGCCCUCCAGGCAGAAACGAAGCCUAAACGUUCGUUUCUUUAAUAACUUCGCAACGGCUCGACGAAUCGCCGAACCGUCUUCGCCAACGCGUUCGUUUACCUAGCAAUUAGGUUUACAAAGGGUCAAAUGAGAUCAAACCCUCAUAUUUACAAAACUAGCAUUUUUGAGCCAUAGAUACAAUUAACCUCCAAAUAAUCCAAAUUAAAUGGAGCAACAUACUAGUAAUGCUCAUUAGAGGCUAUUAGAACACUUAAAGCUAAGGAUUAAGCCAAAUCCGAAAAUCUUACCACUAUGUGAACGCCGCGACGAAAACACAUCGUUGCAACGGCCGCACGAAAGCCCGAACCGACGCCUCCAACGCGUUCGCAAGCUCGCUCUCCACCAACCGUCAAAUUUUUAGAGAGAGAUUUGGAGAGAUGAGACAAAAAUCUAGAGAGAGGUAGAGGUGUUUCUCUCUCUAUCUCCAUGAGUGUGCGUGUGUGUGUGGCGUGUGUGCGGCUGAAGGAGAAGAAGAAGACAACAAGUCUUCUUAUAUAAUUAACACCCCAAAACACUAUUCACUCCAGGCAGUUUUUGCAGUUCGGAACAGUUGGAGCCCUUCUGAAUGUCCGUUUGAGCUCAAAUUUGACAGGCAAGCUCAGUUUAACGUACUGAGUAAGAAUAUAUUUUAAGUUUUCAGUUUUGACCCCAUUUGGUCACCAAAAACUGUACCGAACUGUAAUCUUUAUCAGAUAGCUGUCGGAUUUUAUUUCUCACUCUACGGGUGUCAGAAAAAUAUGAAACUUUAAAUCUAGCCUCAUAAAAAUAUUUCUGACUUAUCGUCCAAAUUUUAUAAUUUUCUGAGACUGUGCAUUUUCUGCUAAUUUAUCUGUCCCGUUUCCAACAGAAAAUUCUAGAUCUUCUGUUUUCAUUCCGAUUUCAGCACAAGUCACUUCUGACUUAUGUUUUACUCCUAUAAAUCCAAUAAAAAUAGUUUCUCACACUAUUUUUAUUUAUUUUUAUUUUUAUACCAAAAUCUGGUAUGUUACACCGAGCUAGCUACGCGACACUCUUGCCGCGAUCCCGUACCUCCGCCGGUGCUGAAGGCUCUGAAAA